CCUACGGGAGGCAGCAGUAAGGAAUAUUGGGCAAUGGACGCAAGUCUGACCCAGCCAUGCCGCGUGGAGGAUGACGGUCCUCUGGAUUGUAAACUCCUUUUAUCUGGGGCGAAAAAAGGCCAUUCUUGGCAGCUUGACGGUACCAGAUGAAUAAGCACCGGCUAACUCCGUGCCAGCAGCCGCGGUAAUACGGAGGGUGCAAGCGUUAUCCGGAUUCACUGGGUUUAAAGGGUGCGUAGGUGGGCAGGUAAGUCAGUGGUGAAAUCCCCGGGCUCAACCCGGGAACUGCCGUUGAUACUAUCUGUCUUGAAUAUCAUGGAGGUAAGCGGAAUAUGUCAUGUAGCGGUGAAAUGCUUAGAGAUGACAUAGAACACCGAUUGCGAAGGCAGCUUGCUACAUGGUCAUUGACACUGAGGCACGAAAGCGUGGGGAGCAAACAGGAUUAGAUACCCGAGUAGUC
This 460-nucleotide ribosomal RNA is filed under the name uncultured bacterium. Its description in RNAcentral is "bacterial SSU rRNA". It matches the Rfam family "Bacterial small subunit ribosomal RNA", at positions 338 to 795 of the family's 1533-position model. The record is from RNAcentral.